RNAcentral lists this ribosomal RNA (165 nucleotides) under uncultured bacterium. RNAcentral describes it as "partial 16S ribosomal RNA". It matches the Rfam family "Bacterial small subunit ribosomal RNA", at positions 355 to 511 of the family's 1533-position model. The record is from RNAcentral.
UAGGGAAUCUUCGGCAAUGGACGAAAGUCUGGCCGAGCAACGCCGCGUGAGUGAAGAAGGUUUUCGGAUCGUAAAACUCUGUUGGUAGAGAAGAACGUUGGUGAGAGUGGAAAGCUCAUCAAGUGACGGUAACUACCCAGAAAGGGACGGCUAACUACGUGCCAG